Long non-coding RNA from Salvelinus namaycush (lake trout), 5752 nucleotides. RefSeq lists it as uncharacterized. The record is from RefSeq and is a predicted model, not a curated record. The transcript is spliced from 4 exons. Lineage: Eukaryota; Metazoa; Chordata; Actinopteri; Salmoniformes; Salmonidae.
UCCCUAUGCAGUGGUCACCACACUUAGUCGUCCCCUCCAGGUAACUGCUAACUCUGUUACAGAACAAUGUGCUCCUCAAGCAGGUAGGCUCCCUACGCAGUGGUCACCACACUUAGUCGUCCCCUCCAGGUAACUGCUAACUCUGUUACAGAACAAUGUGCUCCUCAAGCAGGUAGGCUCCCUACGCAGUGGUCACCACACUUAGUCGUCCCCUCCAGGUAACUGCUAACUCUGUUACAGAACAAUGUGCUCCUCAAGCAGGUAGGCUCCCUAUGCAGUGGUCACCACACUUAGUCGUCCCCUCCAGGUAACUGCUAACUCUGUUACAGAACAAUGUGCUUCUCAAGCAGGUAGGCUCCCUACGCAGUGGUCACCACACUUAGUCGUCCCCUCCAGGUAACUGCUAACUCUGUUACAGAACAAUGUGCUUCUCAAGCAGGUAGGCUCCCUACGCAGUGGUCACCACACUUAGUCGUCCCCUCCAGGUAACUGCUAACUCUGUUACAGAACAAUGUGCUUCUCAAGCAGGUAGGCUCCCUACGCAGUGGUCACCACACUUAGUCGUCCCCUCCAGGUAACUGCUAACUCUGUCACAGAACAAUGUGCUUCUCAAGCAGGUAGGCUCCCUAUGCAGUGGUCACCACACUUAGUCGUCCCCUCCAGGUAACUGCUCUGUUACAGAACAAUGUGCUUCUCAAGCAGGUAGGCUCCCUACGCAGUGGUCACCACACUUAGUCGUCCCCUCCAGGUAACUGCUAACUCUGUUACAGAACAAUGUGCUUCUCAAGCAGGUAGGCUCCCUACGCAGUGGUCACCACACUUAGUCGUCCCCUCCAGGUAACUGCUAACUCUGUUACAGAACAAUGUGCUCCUCAAGCAGGUAGGCUCCCUACGCAGUGGUCACCACACUUAGUCGUCCCCUCCAGGUAACUGCUAACUCUGUUACAGAACAAUGUGCUCCUCAAGCAGGUAGGCUCCCUACGCAGUGGUCACCACACUUAGUCGUCCCCUCCAGGUAACUGCUAACUCUGUUACAGAACAAUGUGCUUCUCAAGCAGGUAGGCUCCCUAUGCAGUGGUCACCACACUUAGUCGUCCCCUCCAGGUAACUGCUAACUCUGUUACAGAACAAUGUGCUCCUCAAGCAGGUAGGCUCCCUACGCAGUGGUCACCACACUUAGUCGUCCAGGUAACUGCUAACUCUGUUACAGAACAAUGUGCUCCUCAAGCAGGUAGGCUCCCUACGCAGUGGUCACCACACUUAGUCGUCCCCUCCAGGUAACUGCUAACUCUGUUACAGAACAAUGUGCUUCUCAAGCAGGUAGGCUCCCUACGCAGUGGUCACCACACUUAGUCGUCCCCUCCAGGUAACUGCUAACUCUGUUACAGAACAAUGUGCUCCUCAAGCAGGUAGGCUCCCUAUGCAGUGGUCACCACACUUAGUCGUCCCCUCCAGGUAACUGCUCUGUUACAGAACAAUGUGCUUCUCAAGCAGGUAGGCUCCCUACGCAGUGGUCACCACACUUAGUCGUCCAGGUAACUGCUAACUCUGUUACAGAACAAUGUGUUUCUCAAGCAGGUAGGCUCCCUACGCAGUGGUCACCACACUUAGUCGUCCAGGUAACUGCUAACUCUGUUACAGAACAAUGUGCUCCUCAAGCAGGUAGGCUCCCUACGCAGUGGUCACUACACUUAGUCGUCCCCUCCAGGUAACUGCUAACUCUGUUACAGAACAAUGUGCUCCUCAAGCAGGUAGGCUCCCUACGCAGUGGUCACCACACUUAGUCGUCCAGGUAACUGCUAACUCUGUUACAGAACAAUGUGUUUCUCAAGCAGGUAGGCUCCCUACGCAGUGGUCACCACACUUAGUCGUCCAGGUAACUGCUAACUCUGUUACAGAACAAUGUGCUCCUCAAGCAGGUAGGCUCCCUACGCAGUGGUCACCACACUUAGUCGUCCCCUCCAGGUAACUGCUAACUCUGUUACAGAACAAUGUGCUUCUCAAGCAGGUAGGCUCCCUACGCAGUGGUCACCACACUUAGUCGUCCAGGUAACUGCUAACUCUGUUACAGAACAAUGUGUUUCUCAAGCAGGUAGGCUCCCUACGCAGUGGUCACCACACUUAGUCGUCCCCUCCAGGUAACUGCUAACUCUGUUACAGAACAAUGUGCUUCUCAAGCAGGUAGGCUCCCUACGCAGUGGUCACCACACUUAGUCGUCCCCUCCAGGUAACUGCUAACUCUGUUACAGAACAAUGUGCUUCUCAAGCAGGUAGGCUCCCUACGCAGUGGUCACCACACUUAGUCGUCCAGGUAACUGCUAACUCUGUUACAGAACAAUGUGCUUCUCAAGCAGGUAGGCUCCCUACGCAGUGGUCACCACACUUAGUCGUCCAGGUAACUGCUAACUCUGUUACAGAACAAUGUGCUCCUCAAGCAGGUAGGCUCCCUACGCAGUGGUCACCACACUUAGUCGUCCCCUCCAGGUAACUGCUAACUCUGUUACAGAACAAUGUGCUCCUCAAGCAGGUAGGCUCCCUAUGCAGUGGUCACCACACUUAGUCGUCCAGGUAACUGCUAACUCUGUUACAGAACAAUGUGCUUCUCAAGCAGGUAGGCUCCCUACGCAGUGGUCACCACACUUAGUCGUCCAGGUAACUGCUAACUCUGUUACAGAACAAUGUGCUCCUCAAGCAGGUAGGCUCCCUACGCAGUGGUCACCACACUUAGUCGUCCCCUCCAGGUAACUGCUAACUCUGUUACAGAACAAUGUGCUCCUCAAGCAGGUAGGCUCCCUACGCAGUGGUCACCACACUUAGUCGUCCCCUCCAGGUAACUGCUAACUCUGUUACAGAACAAUGUGCUUCUCAAGCAGGUAGGCUCCCUACGCAGUGGUCACCACACUUAGUCGUCCCCUCCAGGUAACUGCUAACUCUGUUACAGAACAAUGUGCUCCUCAAGCAGGUAGGCUCCCUACGCAGUGGUCACCACACUUAGUCGUCCAGGUAACUGCUAACUCUGUUACAGAACAAUGUGCUUCUCAAGCAGGUAGGCUCCCUACGCAGUGGUCACCACACUUAGUCGUCCAGGUAACUGCUAACUCUGUUACAGAACAAUGUGCUCCUCAAGCAGGUAGGCUCCCUACGCAGUGGUCACCACACUUAGUCGUCCAGGUAACUGCUAACUCUGUUACAGAACAAUGUGCUCCUCAAGCAGGUAGGCUCCCUACGCAGUGGUCACCACACUUAGUCGUCCCCUCCAGGGAACUGCUAACUCUGUUACAGAACAAUGUGCUUCUCAAGCAGGUAGGCUCCCUACGCAGUGGUCACCACACUUAGUCGUCCCCUCCAGGGAACUGCUAACUCUGUUACAGAACAAUGUGCUUCUCAAGCAGGUAGGCUCCCUACGCAGUGGUCACCACACUUAGUCGUCCCCUCCAGGGAACUGCUAACUCUGUUACAGAACAAUGUGCUUCUCAAGCAGGUAGGCUCCCUAUGCAGUGGUCACCACACUUAGUCGUCCAGGUAACUGCUAACUCUGUUACAGAACAAUGUGCUCCUCAAGCAGGUAGGCUCCCUACGCAGUGGUCACCACACUUAGUCGUCCAGGUAACUGCUAACUCUGUUACAGAACAAUGUGCUCCUCAAGCAGGUAGGCUCCCUACGCAGUGGUCACCACACUUAGUCGUCCAGGUAACUGCUAACUCUGUUACAGAACAAUGUGCUUCUCAAGCAGGUAGGCUCCCUACGCAGUGGUCACCACACUUAGUCGUCCCCUCCAGGUAACUGCUAACUCUGUUACAGAACAAUGUGUUUCUCAAGCAGGUAGGCUCCCUACGCAGUGGUCACCACACUUAGUCGUCCCCUCCAGGUAACUGCUAACUCUGUUACAGAACAAUGUGUUUCUCAAGCAGGUAGGCUCCCUACGCAGUGGUCACCACACUUAGUCGUCCCCUCCAGGUAACUGCUAACUCUGUUACAGAACAAUGUGCUUCUCAAGCAGGUAGGCUCCCUACGCAGUGGUCACCACACUUAGUCGUCCCCUCCAGGUAACUGCUAACUCUGUUACAGAACAAUGUGCUUCUCAAGCAGGUAGGCUCCCUACGCAGUGGUCACCACACUUAGUCGUCCAGGUAACUGCUAACUCUGUUACAGAACAAUGUGCUUCUCAAGCAGGUAGGCUCCCUACGCAGUGGUCACCACACUUAGUCGUCCCCUCCAGGUAACUGCUAACUCUGUUACAGAACAAUGUGCUCCUCAAGCAGGUAGGCUCCCUACGCAGUGGUCACCACACUUAGUCGUCCAGGUAACUGCUAACUCUGUUACAGAACAAUGUGCUCCUCAAGCAGGUAGGCUCCCUACGCAGUGGUCACCACACUUAGUCGUCCCCUCCAGGUAACUGCUAACUCUGUUACAGAACAAUGUGCUCCUCAAGCAGGUAGGCUCCCUAUGCAGUGGUCACCACACUUAGUCGUCCAGGUAACUGCUAACUCUGUUACAGAACAAUGUGCUUCUCAAGCAGGUAGGCUCCCUACGCAGUGGUCACCACACUUAGUCGUCCCCUCCAGGUAACUGCUAACUCUGUUACAGAACAAUGUGCUUCUCAAGCAGGUAGGCUCCCUACGCAGUGGUCACCACACUUAGUCGUCCAGGUAACUGCUAACUCUGUUACAGAACAAUGUGCUCCUCAAGCAGGUAGGCUCCCUAUGCAGUGGUCACCACACUUAGUCGUCCAGGUAACUGCUAACUCUGUUACAGAACAAUGUGCUCCUCAAGCAGGUAGGCUCCCUACGCAGUGGUCACCACACUUAGUCGUCCCCUCCAGGUAACUGCUAACUCUGUUACAGAACAAUGUGCUCCUCAAGCAGGUAGGCUCCCUACGCAGUGGUCACCACACUUAGUCGUCCAGGUAACUGCUAACUCUGUUACAGAACAAUGUGCUUCUCAAGCAGGUAGGCUCCCUACGCAGUGGUCACCACACUUAGUCGUCCCCUCCAGGUAACUGCUAACUCUGUUACAGAACAAUGUGCUUCUCAAGCAGGUAGGCUCCCUACGCAGUGGUCACCACACUUAGUCGUCCCCUCCAGGGAACUGCUAACUCUGUUACAGAACAAUGUGCUUCUCAAGCAGGUAGGCUCCCUAUGCAGUGGUCACCACACUUAGUCGUCCAGGUAACUGCUAACUCUGUUACAGAACAAUGUGCUCCUCAAGCAGGUAGGCUCCCUACGCAGUGGUCACCACACUUAGUCGUCCAGGUAACUGCUAACUCUGUUACAGAACAAUGUGCUCCUCAAGCAGGUAGGCUCCCUACGCAGUGGUCACCACACUUAGUCGUCCAGGUAACUGCUAACUCUGUUACAGAACAAUGUGCUUCUCAAGCAGGUAGGCUCCCUACGCAGUGGUCACCACACUUAGUCGUCCCCUCCAGGGAACUGCUAACUCUGUUACAGAACAAUGUGUUUCUCAAGCAGGUAGGCUCCCUACGCAGUGGUCACCACACUUAGUCGUCCCCUCCAGGUAACUGCUAACUCUGUUACAGAACAAUGUGCUUCAUUGUUCUCUCCGUCAAGUGGAAGUCCUUGAUGAGAACUGUUAUGGAGAGGAAACAGCUUGUUGGGUGAUGACUGAUUUCAGUACAUAUUGAAAUGUCAACACCUCUUUUCUCUCUCCUCUCUCUCUCCAUAUCUCUCAUCUAUCUGUCUCUCUCUCUCUCUCUCUCUCUCUCUCUCUCCUAUCUCUCUCCAUCUCAUCUAUC